Streptomyces zinciresistens K42 is the source of this 87-nucleotide non-coding RNA. Lineage: Bacteria; Bacillati; Actinomycetota; Actinomycetes; Kitasatosporales; Streptomycetaceae. The record is from Rfam.
CCGGGCCAGUGCUCAAGGCCCGUCCCCACUUCGACAUGCGUCGCCGGUAACGGUGGGGUGUGGAGCUCGAAGGAGAAGCCCAAGGGU